This 739-nucleotide ribosomal RNA is filed under the name Priestia megaterium. RNAcentral's name for it is "bacterial SSU rRNA". It matches the Rfam family "Bacterial small subunit ribosomal RNA", at positions 51 to 869 of the family's 1533-position model. Lineage: Bacteria; Bacillati; Bacillota; Bacilli; Caryophanales; Bacillaceae. The record is from RNAcentral.
AUACAUGCAAGUCGAGCGAACUGAUUAGAAGCUUGCUUCUAUGACGUUAGCGGCGGACGGGUGAGUAACACGUGGGCAACCUGCCUGUAAGACUGGGAUAACUUCGGGAAACCGAAGCUAAUACCGGAUAGGAUCUUCUCCUUCAUGGGAGAUGAUUGAAAGAUGGUUUCGGCUAUCACUUACAGAUGGGCCCGCGGUGCAUUAGCUAGUUGGUGAGGUAACGGCUCACCAAGGCAACGAUGCAUAGCCGACCUGAGAGGGUGAUCGGCCACACUGGGACUGAGACACGGCCCAGACUCCUACGGGAGGCAGCAGUAGGGAAUCUUCCGCAAUGGACGAAAGUCUGACGGAGCAACGCCGCGUGAGUGAUGAAGGCUUUCGGGUCGUAAAACUCUGUUGUUAGGGAAGAACAAGUACAAGAGUAACUGCUCGUACCUUGACGGUACCUAACCAGAAAGCCACGGCUAACUACGUGCCAGCAGCCGCGGUAAUACGUAGGUGGCAAGCGUUAUCCGGAAUUAUUGGGCGUAAAGCGCGCGCAGGCGGUUUCUUAAGUCUGAUGUGAAAGCCCACGGCUCAACCGUGGAGGGUCAUUGGAAACUGGGGAACUUGAGUGCAAAAGAAAAAAGCGGAAUUCCACGUGUAGCGGUGAAAUGCGUAGAGAUGUGGAGGAACACCAGGGGCGAAGGCGGUUUUUUGGUCUGUAACUGACACUGAGGCGCUUAGUAGUUCCCCACCC